Molecule: long non-coding RNA, 437 nt
Organism: Onychostoma macrolepis
Lineage: Eukaryota; Metazoa; Chordata; Actinopteri; Cypriniformes; Cyprinidae
Exons: 5
Source: RefSeq, a predicted model, not a curated record
AUGCCAUUAAAACCUGCUGCUCGCUGUCAGAGGAGCCUGCGCCUUCUCGCCAAUCCAGCCGAGGCGCCACCCCUCGCUCCCGCCUCUCACUACACUGUAACCAGCAUCCCGCAUGGAUUAUCAAAGUAUCCGCAGGGACGAGCGCAGAGACGACCGGAGGAGUGUGUCUUCUGAGCACAUGAUUGCUGGAGCCUCUGAGGAGACAAAAGUAAAGAAAGCGAGGAACAGACAAGAUCUGUUUAAAGAACGAAAGCAUUCUGGCAUGUAUAUCCUCCAUGUACGUCGCGCUCCACAGCAGCUAUAAUGAUAUAAAGCCUAAGGCCCAGCGAUACGAAUGAAAUGAAAUACAAUCUGCCUUUUUUAUCAGCACAGUCAGUUACCUGAAAAUGUGUCAUGUUUUCUUCAGUGCCAAUCAGGACAGUCUUGUCUUUCUUGUC